AGAGAUUGAAAAGAAGAACUUGAAAGAAAACCCUAAUCUGAAAAAAUGAAGAGUCUUUUUUUGAAAGCAAAGUUAUAGAAAUUUUGAGAAGAUGCUUACAAACUCAUGGCAAGCAUGGAUUUGAGGUAGGUCUAAAAGAAAUCAAAAAGUCUCAGAGAUUAGGGUUUCAGAAGAACCCAAAAGCAAUGAGAAAGGUCUUGAAAGUUACCAAUAUAAAUAGGAGAGUCAAAGCUCUAACUCGAAUGGCCAUGGCUGGCCGGAGAAAGGUUAGAGAUGACCAGAGAAGGUCAUCGAGCAAAGACUGUACCAAGUCCCUUCAAAGUCUGGUCAGGAGACCACAGAACCAAACACGUAGAAGACAUGGAAGGCUGAUACAGGUCUUAGAUGACCAUGGAAAGUCAUGGAUUAGGAUAGAUUAAGGUGGUGGAGGCUAGGGUUCGGGGGUGUUGCAGAGUGUUUGAGAAAGGAGGGAUUCAGAGGUGGCG
This 485-nucleotide long non-coding RNA is filed under the name Nicotiana benthamiana. RNAcentral's name for it is "long non-coding RNA (NBEN_LNC009578)". Lineage: Eukaryota; Viridiplantae; Streptophyta; Magnoliopsida; Solanales; Solanaceae. The record is from RNAcentral.